GACAUACACCUUAGAUACAUUCUGAUCAACAUAUGGGGCGAAGUAUACUGAAAAAACGCAUAUGACUGAAUAUAAUAAGUUGGAGGAAGACUCUGCGAUAUGAUUGGUGGUUACCGUUCAAAGGCGGGUUUAAAGACGAUGGAGCAAUUUCACUGGUUGAGGGAACGUUGCCCUUACAAAACCGGAAACAGAUCUAACCUUGACAAGGAAACAUCUCACGUGUAGCUCUAGUCAGGUUCUCAGUUAUUCGUUAAAAAUAUUCUGCGACCAGUAACGGCGAUACUGGCUGGUGUCAGGCACGAAAUGCCUUGCUCAAAAGAUGACGGUUUGGCCACUGAGUGCUUACGGGACCCCGUCCAUUCAUGCAUGGAGACUGGGAACUGUCAUACUGACUGACUGGAUCUACUUGAGUUCACGGGAUCACCGUCUGGUAUGUCAACAUGAGGAACCCAUGCCGAUUUAUCAUUCGAAACUAUAGUGUGGUACCAAGGUUGUCUACACGUUUAUUUGCACAAUGCCAUGUCCCUCAAGCCGGUCCACAGAGGUUGGAUGUGGGGCACAUGAGCACAUACCAAGGCUAUCCACACAGGUUGGAUGUCAGGCACAUGAGCACACACCCCCCCAGCGAUGAAGAGCAUUUCUUCAUCACUACCCCCAUCUUCUAUGUCAACGCAUCCCCGCAUCUAGGACAUUUGUAUUCGGCCGUGACUGCAGACUGUUUGCACAGAUACAAACUACUUCAAGGCUUCAAGUCAAAGUUUUCUACAGGCACCGACGAGCACGGCCUGAAAAUCCAACAGGCAGCCGAAUCUGCAGGCAAAGAUCCGCUCAUCUUCUGCACCGAUGUGUCUGAAAGAUUUAAACGUCUAUUCGUCCAAUGUAACAUCUCGUACACGGACUACAUCAGGACCAGCGACCCGGUUCACCGGCGGGCUGUGGAGAGGUUUUGGACAGUGCUGCAGGACAAAGGGCUCAUCUACAAGGGGAGCUAUGAGGGUUGGUACUCGAUGCAGGACGAGAGCUUCCUCACGCCGUCACAGGUGGCCGACGCCUUGGACUCCUCAGGAAAGGACAUCAAGAUCUCCCUAGACAGUGGGCACAAGGUGGAGUGGAUGAAGGAGGAGAACUACAUGUUCCGUCUGUCGGCGUUCCGCCGCCCGCUGCUGGCCUGGCUGAGGGGGAACCCCGGCGCCAUCCAGCCGGAGCGCUUCUACCAGGACGUCCUCCAGUGGCUGCAGGAGGAGCUGCCGGACCUCUCGGUGUCCCGCCAGAGGAGCCGACUCCAGUGGGGGGUCCCGGUCCCGGGCGACCCCCAGCAGACCGUCUACGUCUGGCUGGACGCCCUGGUCAACUACCUGACCGUGGCCGGCUACCCCGACGCCCACGCGCAGUGGUGGAGCUCCGCCCACCACGUCAUAGGGAAGGACAUUUUAAAGUUCCACGCCAUCUAUUGGCCGGCUUUUCUCUUGGGGGCGGGGCUACCGCCGCCACGGACGAUCUGCGUGCACUCCCAUUGGACGGUGGGGGGUAAAAAAAUGUCCAAGAGCGUGGGCAACGUGGUCGACCCUGUGGAGAAGUCUGGGCGGUUCGGCACGGACGGCCUGAGGUACUUCCUCCUGCGGCAGGGCGUGCCGGACUCGGACUGCGACUACAACGACGCCAAGGUGCUGAAGGUGCUGAACGCCGAGCUGGCCGACUCGCUGGGCGGCCUGCUGAACCGGUGCACGGCGCCCGCCCUCAACCCCGCGCAGCGCUACCCGCCCUUCUGCCCGGAGCUGUUCGCGGCCGGCUCCGGGGGCAGGGCGACGGCGGACGACCGGCGCCUUCUGGAGGCGGUGCGCGGGCUCCCCGCCGUGGUGGGGCGCCACUACGAGACCCUGCACGCGUACAAGGCGCUGGAGGCCGUCGGCGGCUGCGUGCGGCUCACCAACGGCUUCGUGCAACGCCACGCGCCCUGGAAGCUGGACCGGGGCGACGAGGGCGACCGUCGCUGGCUGGACACCCUCCUCCACGUGGCGCUGGAGUGCCUGAGGACGUACGGCCUGCUGCUGCAGCCCGCCGUGCCGGAGACUGCCGACCGGCUGCUGUGCCGGCUGGGGGUGGGUCCGGGCGAGAGGAGCUGGAGCGCGCUCUCCUUUCUGCCCAGGGCCCGAGGGAUGGCCUGCCCCUUCGAGGGGAGGGCUCUGGGGGCUGAUUGUGGAGUGCUUUUCAGCCGCCUGGAGCCUUUGGACUCGGACGACCGAAAGCCUAAGAGAACUUUGAAACAUGCAUGAUUUUGCAUGUUUGAUAAUAAUUAAACGUGCAUAAUCAUGUUGUAACUGGCAAUUUGGUUUCACUUAAGUGUGUCUCCAUGUGCAAAUUUGUACUAUUUUGACUCGUGAAAUAAAGGCUAAAUUAAUUGAGACUAAGAUGGUAUUGGGGAUUCAGCUGAAGAUAAGUGAUAAGUGUUGCAAUAUUUCAUUGUGCAUUUCAUCAGAAGGCAUACAAUAAAAGCACAUUCAACUGACAUGAUAUUGUUUAAGGAGAAAUACACCAAACUUAAAAAGUCGAAUAAAAAUAUAUUUGAAUUAUUGUUAAAUUAGUGCCUCAUCCGCUCGUGCUCACAGCGGGAAAACAGAUGUCCAAAUGUUGUUGUUUACCGCAAAGUCACACGUGAAGACGGUCCGUAAUCGGUAAAAGGAAAUUGUCAAGUAGCCUACCUAUUAUUAAAUUGAAUAGGAUUAUUUCAUGCAAGAAAAAAACAUAAUGGUUGAGAUAUUUGGGAGCAUUUGUAAGUGUUAAACCAUUCAACAGGCGACCCAACAACCAACUUCAUUCCAGAGAGGGAGAGGAGAGAAUGAUUAAUACUCAUACGGCCUGCAGCAGGCGACCAACGCAGGAACCCAGAACGAGAAAACAUCUUCAUCAGUAUUCGCCCCUAGACCGGCGCCACCUCUUCCACCAACACCGGGUUGUAGCCGCGGUCUGCGCUGCCUCGUGAGAGGAACGGUCCUCUGGUGGACGGCGGCCGCGGCACCAGGAAGCAAUAGAGAUGUCUUUCGCCAAGAUAAGGAUUACGCCGUCGCAGCAGUCGGUCCUGCGGUGGCAGCCUUCACCGCCGCCAUGGGGCCACGCGGGCCCCAGGCUACCGCCAGGGCCAAGAGGCCGGAGGAGGUGGAGAAGGAGGCCCGAGUUGUUUGCUGUAUAUAUUUAUCAUUUUGCAGGGCUAGUUUAUAUAGUUCUUUGUUUUGUUGUUCAGUGCAUACACACAGCCAAUUUAUUUAUAUAUAUAGUAUUUGAAUGAAUAAAAUAAAAUAUAUUCUCCU
Gadus chalcogrammus (walleye pollock) is the source of this 3305-nucleotide RNA transcript. It is a transcript of the gene named methionyl-tRNA synthetase 2, mitochondrial, with no coding region annotated. NCBI's taxonomy places the organism in Eukaryota, Metazoa, Chordata, Actinopteri, Gadiformes, Gadidae. The record is from RefSeq and is a predicted model, not a curated record. The transcript has 6 exons.